This 400-nucleotide ribosomal RNA is filed under the name uncultured bacterium. Its description in RNAcentral is "bacterial SSU rRNA". It matches the Rfam family "Bacterial small subunit ribosomal RNA", at positions 355 to 767 of the family's 1533-position model. The record is from RNAcentral.
UCGAGGAUCUUCGGCAAUGGGGGCAACCCUGACCGAGCGACGCCGCGUGUGCGACGAAGGCCUUCGGGUUGUAAAGCACUGUCGAGGGGGAGAAAGGGCAACUUGAUCUAUCCCUGGAGGAAGCUCGGGCUAAGUUCGUGCCAGCAGCCGCGGUAAGACGAACCGAGCGAACGUUGUUCGGAAUAACUGGGCUUAAAGGGCGCGUAGGCGGGCCGCCAAGUUCGAGGUGAAAUCCUCCGGCUCAACCGGAGAACUGCCUCGAAUACUGGAGGUCUCGAGGGGGGUAGGGGCACGCGGAACUAACGGUGGAGCGGUGAAAUGCGUUGAUAUCGUUAGGAACUCCGGUGGCGAAGGCGGCGUGCUGGACCCCAUCUGACGCUGAGGCGCGAAAGCCAGGGGA